This 497-nucleotide ribosomal RNA is filed under the name uncultured bacterium. RNAcentral's name for it is "partial 16S ribosomal RNA". It matches the Rfam family "Bacterial small subunit ribosomal RNA", at positions 28 to 507 of the family's 1533-position model. The record is from RNAcentral.
GAUGAACGCUGGCGGCGUGCCUAAUACAUGCAAGUCGAGCGAACAGACGAGGAGCUUGCUCCUCUGACGUUAGCGGCGGACGGGUGAGUAACACGUGGAUAACCUACCUAUAAGACUGGGAUAACUUCGGGAAACCGGAGCUAAUACCGGAUAAUAUAUUGAACCGCAUGGUUCAAUAGUGAAAGACGGUUUUGCUGUCACUUAUAGAUGGAUCCGCGCCGCAUUAGCUAGUUGGUAAGGUAACGGCUUACCAAGGCAACGAUGCGUAGCCGACCUGAGAGGGUGAUCGGCAACACUGGAACUGAGACUCGGUCCAGACUCCUACGGGAGGCAGCAGUAGGGAAUCUUCCGCAAUGGGCGAAAGCCUGACGGAGAAACGCCGCGUGAGUGAUGAAGGUCUUCGGAUCGUAAAACUCUGUUAUUAGGGAAGAACAAAUGUGUAAGUAACUAUGCACGUCUUGACGGUACCUAAUCAGAAAGCCACGGCUAACUACGUG